GGAAGCAUGGCUGAGUGGCUGAAAGCGGCACCCUGCUAAGGUGUUGGUCACAGACUGUGGCUCGGAGGUUCGAAUCCUCCUGCUUCCGCAA
RNAcentral lists this transfer RNA (91 nucleotides) under Candidatus Segatella violae. RNAcentral's name for it is "tRNA-Ser". It matches the Rfam family "tRNA". Rfam says of the family: Transfer RNA (tRNA) molecules are approximately 80 nucleotides in length. Their secondary structure includes four short double-helical elements and three loops (D, anti-codon, and T loops). Lineage: Bacteria; Pseudomonadati; Bacteroidota; Bacteroidia; Bacteroidales; Prevotellaceae. The record is from RNAcentral.